CAUUCAAGCCGGAUUUACAAACACGUGUACAUAGAUAAGGGUCACUUUUCUGCAGACCCGCAGCAAUCCAGUUGUGCGUAUGUUAAUCGUUGGGAUCACUGUGUAAAUCGAUUCCUAUCGGUAUUACCGUCCAUUAAAGCUGGCUCGUUUAAAAUGCGAGCUUCGUUGACGUGCAGACUUUAGUGUUGCAGUUCCAGUCGGUGUAACAUUUUCCCAAACGAUAAAUAAAUAGCCACAAUAUGUUACGUCUUGGUGCACCGAUAAUUACUCGUUAUGGAGGCAGUGCGAAAAUUUUGUCCUCAACCAGAUUUCUUACAAUAGUUGCCCAACCAAUGCAACAGGUAGAGACGGAUCUACAGAACACUUCAUUCGUGGCCAGUAUCUUCCGUGGAAAUGUGGUUCCCGGGCAGGUUUUUCCCUAUCCUGAACCAUCAGAGGAACAAAAAGAACUUAUCCACGAUCUGAUGAACCCAAUUACUCGAUUUCUCCGUUUUGAGCACAAUCCUGCCUUGGCAGAGGAGAACAAGUGUCCGGAUCCAAACACUAUCGACGACUUAUGGAAAAUGGGUGUCUUCGGAAUGACGGCUCCUGAAGAGUACGGAGGUCUAGGAGCCAGCACUACCACUUACGUCACUCUCGCGGAUGCUAUCGGAGCGAUAGAUCUUGGGCUAGGAACCUAUGUUGGAGCUCAUCAGUGCAUCGGUUGGAAGGGUAUUUUCAUGCACGGUACCGAGCAGCAAAAGAACAAGUAUCUUCCUAUGGCUACAAAAGGCGGAACGCUAGCGGCGUUCGCAUUGACUGAACCAAGUGCAGGAUCGGAUCUAAAUUCAAUCAAAUCCCGAGCCGUCAAGAGCUCAUGUGGUAAAUAUUACACAUUGAAUGGAUCAAAACUAUGGAUUUCGGGUGGAAAUGAAGCAGGAAUCUUUACUGUAUUCGCACAAACGGAGGUGUUGCGACCAGAAACAGGACAAAAACAAGAUGCACUCACCGCGUUCAUAGUAGAGCGAGCAUUCGAGGGAGUGUCGAUAGGAGAACCUGAGAAGAAGAUGGGCAUCGCUGCAUCGGGCACUUGUGCAAUAUACUUCGAUGAUGUUAGAAUUCCGAUUGAAAAUGUUCUUGGAGGUGAGGGCAAUGGAUUCAAGGUGGCAGUCACAACACUCAAUAACGGUCGCUUCGCUAUUGGUGGCUCAAUGUCUGGGAUGAUGAGAACUUGCAUCCAAAAAGCAUCACAACAUGCGAACAAGAGAGCACAAUUUGGACGAAAGAUAAAAGAAUUUGGAAAUGUCCAAGAGAAGCUAGCACGGAUGGCCCUGUACCAAUACGUAGUUCAAACCAUGACGUACAUAAUAGUAGGAAACAUCGAUGCCGGUGUUUACGAUAACCAACUGGAAAUGGCAAUAUCGAAAAUAUUUUCAACGGAGGCUGCAUUUUUCGUAUGCGACGAAGCUAUUCAAAUUCUCGGUGGAAACGGUUACAUGAAGGAAAUGGGUCUGGAGAAAUUUCUUCGAGAUGUUAGAGUGUUUAGAAUUUUCGAAGGAGCGAAUGAUGUUAUGCGAAUGUUUGUCGCUCUCCAGGGUGUUAAACAUGCGGGAGAACAAUUGAAAGAACUCAAGCAAGCCGUUGAAAAUCCAACUGCAAACUUAGGUUUGAUAUUGAAAGCAGGAUCGCGUCGGUUUGCUCGUAGACUAGGCAUCGAGAAUGGAAACGAUUUGAGUGAGUAUGUGGCCAGUCCGCUGAGGGAAUCCGCUAGAAAAUGUUCGGAAAGUGUGAACAUAUUUGCAAAGUCAGUUGAAUCAAAUUUGUUACUCCACGGUAAAAGCAUUGUGGGACAGCAGUUUACACUAAAACGACUGGCUGACUGUAUCAUAGAUAUUUAUGCCAUGGCUUGUGUACUUUCGCGAGCAAGUAGAGCCAUUGAGCGAAAUCUACCUUCUGCCGAACAUGAAUAUUUGAUGGCCGUUGCGUGGUGUACUGAAGCUAAUGAUCGUGUCCAAUGCAAUAUUAGGCAAAUAAGUACAGGACAUUUUCUAGAGCAUUGUAACAUCCUUAGUCGAAUAGCCAAGAACAUCUGCGAAAACGAAGGUGUUUCACAACCCCUGCCACUCGAAUUACUUCGUGAUGUCGGCAAUGGGUAACAAACUUGCAAUGCACCUACGUGAAAGGAUUCGAUUAGGUUGAAUGUACUGACCUGAUAAUUUAUGACCUUCGAGCUCCCAUCAAAAUUCAUAAUAUAAUUUUUUAAGAUGAUAAAAUCCUAAAAUCCCCGAGUUUCUGGUUCGACUGCGUCAUGAAGGUGAAAGUAGACUACAAAAUUUAUAUCUAUUAUACGCGUCUUAUCGAUAGAUUAACCUGAUUUCUGAUAGCGGCUCGAAGGAAUUAUGCGAAACCUUCGAGUCAUUUUUCUAUUCAGUAGCCCUCCAGUAGAGUGUGUGAGAAGGUUUAGCAUUGCAGUAGAUUUCGUCUUCGCUCCGGAAAUGAUAAGAAUAGGAGUCAGUUUUGUGUCCAUAAGUGGGAAAGGAUUGAAAUAUGUACCGCGAUACCUUCACUCCAGCUUAGUUCGACCAACGCAAUCCGAUGCCAGCCCGGAAUCCGUCAAUACUUCCUUCAUGGCGAAUCUGUUCCGGGGAGAAAUUUGCCCGAAGCAAGUUUUUCCCUUCCCGGAAGCAGCAGA
RNA transcript from Wyeomyia smithii (pitcher-plant mosquito), 2671 nucleotides. It is a transcript of the gene named very long-chain specific acyl-CoA dehydrogenase, mitochondrial-like, with no coding region annotated. The record is from RefSeq and is a predicted model, not a curated record. Lineage: Eukaryota; Metazoa; Arthropoda; Insecta; Diptera; Culicidae. The transcript has 3 exons.